GAUGAACGCUGGCGGCGUGCUUAACACGUGCAAGUCGAACGGAAAGGCUCCUGCUUGCAGGGGUACUCGAGUGGCGAACGGGUGAGUAACACGUGGGUGAUCUGCCCUGCACUUCGGGAUAAGCCUGGGAAACUGGGUCUAAUACCGGAUAGGACGAUGGUUUGGAUGCCAUUGUGGAAAGUUUUUUCGGUGUGGGAUGAGCUCGCGGCCUAUCAGCUUGUUGGUGGGGUAAUGGCCUACCAAGGCGUCGACGGGUAGCCGGCCUGAGAGGGUGUACGGCCACAUUGGGACUGAGAUACGGCCCAGACUCCUACGGGAGGCAGCAGUGGGGAAUAUUGCACAAUGGGCGCAAGCCUGAUGCAGCGACGCCGCGUGGGGGAUGACGGCCUUCGGGUUGUAAACUCCUUUCGCUAGGGACGAAGCGCAAGUGACGGUACCUGGAGAAGAAGCACCGGCCAACUACGUG
RNAcentral lists this ribosomal RNA (466 nucleotides) under uncultured bacterium. Its description in RNAcentral is "partial 16S ribosomal RNA". It matches the Rfam family "Bacterial small subunit ribosomal RNA", at positions 28 to 507 of the family's 1533-position model. The record is from RNAcentral.